RNAcentral lists this ribosomal RNA (447 nucleotides) under uncultured bacterium. RNAcentral's name for it is "bacterial SSU rRNA". It matches the Rfam family "Bacterial small subunit ribosomal RNA", at positions 329 to 794 of the family's 1533-position model. The record is from RNAcentral.
CUCCAGACUCCUACGGGAGGCAGCAGUGGGGAAUAUUGCACAAUGGGGGAAACCCUGAUGCAGCGACGCCGCGUGAGUGAAGAAGUAUUUCGGUAUGUAAAGCUCUAUCAGCAGGGAAGAAAAUGACGGUACCUGAUUAAGAAGCCCCGGCUAACUACGUGCCGGCAGCCGCGGUAAUACGGAGGAUGCGAGCGUUAUCCGGAUUUAUUGGGUUUAAAGGGUGCGUAGGCGGAAUGCCAAGUCAGCGGUAAAAUCGCGGGGCUCACCCUCGCUCCGCCGUUGAAACUGGCGUUCUUGAGUGGGCGAGAAGUGCGCGGGAUGCGUGGUGUAGCGGUGAAAUGCAUAGAUAUCACGCAGAACUCCGAUUGCGAAGGCAGCGCACCGGCGCCCUACUGACGCUCAGGCACGAAAGCGUGGGUAUCGAACAGGAUUAGAUACCCCGGUAUG